Molecule: ribosomal RNA, 824 nt
Filed under: uncultured Clostridia bacterium
Lineage: Bacteria; Bacillati; Bacillota; Clostridia
Description: bacterial SSU rRNA
Rfam family: Bacterial small subunit ribosomal RNA
Source: RNAcentral
AGCGAUGAAAUUUCGACAGAUCCCUUCGGGGUGAAGAUGAAAUGGAUUAGCGGCGGACGGGUGAGUAACACGUGAGUAACCUGCCUUAGACAUUGGGAUAGCCUCGGGAAACCGGGAUUAAUACCAAAUGAAAUCACAUAUGCACAUGCAUAAAUGAUCAAAGCUCCGGCGGUCUAAGAUGGACUCGCGUCCCAUUAGCUAGUUGGUGAGGUAACGGCCCACCAAGGCGACGAUGGGUAGCCGGCCUGAGAGGGUGAACGGCCACAUUGGAACUGAGAAACGGUCCAAACUCCUACGGGAGGCAGCAGUGGGGAAUAUUGCACAAUGGGCGCAAGCCUGAUGCAGCAACGCCGCGUGAACGAUGAAGGUCUUCGGAUCGUAAAGUUCUGUUGCAGGGGAAGAUAAUGACGGUACCCUGUGAGGAAGCCCCGGCUAACUACGUGCCAGCAGCCGCGGUAAUACGUAGGGGGCUAGCGUUAUCCGGAUUUACUGGGCGUAAAGGGUGCGUAGGUGGUCUUUCAAGUCGGUGGUUAAAGGCUACGGCUCAACCGUAGUUAGCCUCCGAAACUGGAAGACUUGAGUGCAGGAGAGGAAAGUGGAAUUCCCAGUGUAGCGGUGAAAUGCGUAGAUAUUGGGAGGAACACCAGUAGCGAAGGCGGCUUUCUGGACUGCAACUGACACUGAGGCACGAAAGCGUGGGUAGCAAACAGGAUUAGAUACCCUGGUAGUCCACGCUGUAAACGAUGAGUACUAGGUGUCGGGGGUUACCCCCCUCGGUGCCGCAGCUAACGCAUUAAGUACUCCGCCUGGGGAGUACGCACGCA